CCUACGGGUGGCUGCAGUGGGGAAUAUUGGACAAUGGGGGGAACCCUGAUCCAGCCAUGCCGCGUGUGUGAAGAAGGCCCUCGGGUUGUAAAGCACUUUCAGUGAGGAAGAACGCCUGGUGGUUAAUACCCAUCAGGAAAGACAUCACUCACAGAAGAAGCACCGGCUAACUCCGUGCCAGCAGCCGCGGUAAUACGGAGGGUGCGAGCGUUAAUCGGAAUUACUGGGCGUAAAGCGCGCGUAGGUGGCUUGAUAAGCCGGUUGUGAAAGCCCCGGGCUCAACCUGGGAACGGCAUCCGGAACUGUCAAGCUAGAGUGCAGGAGAGGAAGGUAGAAUUCCCGGUGUAGCGGUGAAAUGCGUAGAGAUCCGGAGGAAUACCAGUGGCGAAGGCGGCCUUCUGGACUGACACUGACACUGAGGUGCGAAAGCGUGGGUAGCAAACAGGAUUAGAUACCCCAGUAGUC
This 465-nucleotide ribosomal RNA is filed under the name Vreelandella stevensii. RNAcentral's name for it is "partial 16S ribosomal RNA". It matches the Rfam family "Bacterial small subunit ribosomal RNA", at positions 338 to 795 of the family's 1533-position model. Lineage: Bacteria; Pseudomonadati; Pseudomonadota; Gammaproteobacteria; Oceanospirillales; Halomonadaceae. The record is from RNAcentral.